CGGACGGGUGGAGUAACGACGUAAGAAACUUAGUCCACUUUAGACUGGGAUAACAGAGGGAAACUUCUGAUAAUACUGGAUAAGUUAGUAUAUCGCAUGAUAUGCAAAUGAAAGCUACGGCACUAAAGGAGAGCUUUGCGUCCUAUUAGCUAGUUGGUAAGGUAAGAGCUUACCAAGGCGAUGAUAGGUAGCCGGCCUGAGAGGGUGGACGGCCACAAGGGGACUGAGAUACGGCCCUUACUCCUACGGGAGGCAGCAGAU
Molecule: ribosomal RNA, 261 nt
Filed under: uncultured Leptotrichia sp.
Lineage: Bacteria; Fusobacteriati; Fusobacteriota; Fusobacteriia; Fusobacteriales; Leptotrichiaceae
Description: partial 16S ribosomal RNA
Rfam family: Bacterial small subunit ribosomal RNA
Source: RNAcentral